RNAcentral lists this long non-coding RNA (2079 nucleotides) under Apteryx rowi (Okarito brown kiwi). Its description in RNAcentral is "lncRNA (ENSARWG00000018787.1)". Lineage: Eukaryota; Metazoa; Chordata; Aves; Apterygiformes; Apterygidae. The record is from RNAcentral.
GCCCAGCUGUGUUGGUAGCAGCAUUUCAAUGGUGCUUCCUAACUGAGGUGGACUCCGAGAACCUUCUGUCAUCCUUGUGCAAAUCCAAAGGUGAGGUACUGCCGGUUUGCAAUAGCGCCUUUGUUUUUAAUUGGUAAUCUUACCAUUUUAUCCGUAUUUCACUUAAUGGAUUCAGGAAUAUAUGCCUCUACUCUCUGGGAAAUAAGAUCAGCAGGAAAAACCUAAAUCAGUCCAUUUGUCUGUCAUGCAUUAAGCAAAUGGUGCUGACAGUAGGAAAUGCACAGCACUUGACGUGCAUUUGGUAACUGCUUGGACGUAGCUAACUUAGACAUUGAGUGUGGUCAGCAUUUUAUAGUGCUGACAGGAUCCUGACAGAUAGUCGUAGUGAACUCAGAUGAGAAUAAAUGAAUAUAAAAAGAGUAUAAUUAUAUUUUUAUGUGGAUACAUGUGUGCAUUAGUGAAGAUUUCAAAAAACUACUGUCAUAGGCUUAUGUAUUAUUUAAGCAACUCUUUGAGGUGUGAAUAAUUUUUAAACUAUUUUAAUAAUACAGUAUUUUUUAGGAUGAUACUUCAGACUUUGAAGGUAUCUGUAUCGGGAUAGAGGAGCUAUGCAGGCCUCCUGGAAUGUCAUUGCUCUUGCCACUGCUGUCCCCUUUGUAGCAGGAGACAAGCAUCUGUCCCCAAACUGACCGGCAGCUUGGCAAACUGGGCCACAAAGAGAUCACUAGGAACUGCCAGGAAUUAUGUGAAUCCCUGGAGAACUGGGGCGAUGUGAGAUAAUAAAUGAGGGAAAGGACUAGCGUGACCAGAGGGAGAAAUCCAAAGCUUGGUGACACCUGGCGACCGGCCGGCCAGAACAGYGUGCCUGCUAAUUAAUGGUGGCGAGUACAGGUUUUAUAUCCCGCCUGGGAUAUGACAGAGCGAGGAAAAUGGCCAUCGAAGAAGACAGACUGACGACAAAUGAAGUCUUGGAAGGAAAUACUAGGGGCAGUCACAUAAAAUGGUCCUUCAAGCUGUUCCAGCUCUUCCUACUGCUCCAUUACCUGAGGAGAAGAAAAACCUGUGUCAAAAUUCCUUAACCGAUCGCGCUGCCUUCCCAGUGCUCAUUUAGAAACUGCCUUGUGUGUCCAGUGCACUCGCAGCUGGGCCAGGAGCAAGCCCAGGCUUCUGCAGCACUUCUGCGCUCUGCUCCGGCCUUGCCUCUUCCCGUGCCGGCUGUGCCACGCUCGGCUCUUGCAUCCGGCCCCGCAGGUGGGCUGAGCUCUCCGAGGCCAGAGCCAGCUCAGCGCCGCAGGUCGGCAYGCGGCGUCGCGUUCCGGCGCUUGCCGCUGCCCUGACCGAGAGCACAAAGAGUCGCCAUCGCGUGGAAAAGUCGUUGGGACCACUGCCGAGAGUAGCCUGGGACAUUUAGAUGUUACACAGAACCUGUCUGUCUGUCCAUGGGAAAAGGAAAUGAAAAGAGUCUAACGGCAGGGCGAUAUUGCCUGUGACUGAUUGUGCCCACUGUAUAGUGUCUGUGCAGAACCUUGAGCAACAGAUGACUAAGUAUCAUCUGAUUCUGUUACUGAAAAGUAGAGGAAUGUAUGUGCUUCCCUAAGUAAAGGAGAUGAUGAAAUUUGGGCAACAUACUCAGAAAGAACUCUAUUUCAAAACUCCUUUUUCAUUUUCAAGUCAAAGGAAUGACUUCUAACAACUUCAGCAAGGGUUGGAAUAAGCCAAAAAUGAUAAGAAAGAACAACCUUUUGCAGCUAAAGUUGGAGUUACAAUAGUGAGAUAGUGAUAGAAACUGCUGGAGUUUUAUUGUGCAUGUUUUGAAUGUGAAGUUGUGGGGCUGGCAGAAGAUUCCUACUGUCUUUAACAAGAAUUAAGUAUCUCUUUGAACUUAAACAUGUACCCAGUUGUACUCUGUAUUUAGAAAGUGAGCAUUGCUCCUAACAACUUUUUUUUUAAUUGAUUUUUUUUAAUGUAAAUUGUCUCCCAGCAUGAUCUAGUGUGAGGCAAAUCAAUACAGAGCUAUGAAAAGUAGCACUGAUUCGCAGCAGAAAUACUGACUCCAGAGUCAGAGAGCUUUUACUUGCC